Molecule: long non-coding RNA, 2016 nt
Organism: Parus major (Great Tit)
Lineage: Eukaryota; Metazoa; Chordata; Aves; Passeriformes; Paridae
Source: Ensembl
CCGUGAAAAUUUCAUACUUCAUCUUCGCCCGGCCGCGGCCACAAGAGUUUCACGAGCGGGGGACAAUAGGUUCUGUUUAUUCAGCCACAAUAAAGAGCCUGUUUCACUCUGGACUGCAAGUGGCUGAGCCAUCUGGCCCAUAUCUCCACAGUAAAACAUUGUCCGUGGCACAAAAAAUGAUUGCAUCCCCAGGACAAACUGAUGUGACCUCGGAAUAAAGGCUUCCUCUGAAGCUAUGAUAUCAUACUGCAGAGGGGACACCGGCACAAUGGAAUCUGCUCCCCCAGAGCACAAGUGAGAUAGGACUAUUUAAAUCCAAUUUUACAGGAGACUUUUUGUCCUCGGUGGCAAAGCACCCAGAUCCGACGACAGCAUUGAAACAUCUUUUUCUAUGCACUCUUAAGGCAACAGAGCGGUUCUGUCUGGCCUUGGCAGCCUCUGCAGCUCGCUCCGGGCCCAGGAAGCGUCGUCCAGCACCUGCAAGCUUCUCUUCCAACAACAUUUUACUGACGGGGCGGCACCUGCAGCGGGGCCCGGCACAAACAAGCGCCUCUUUCUGCUCCGUGCCAGGCGGAAAAGCUGAGCUGAGCUGGGCUGGGCACGCGGCCCCGGCACGGCUCUACCUGCCCCGGAAUUCCUGCAGCCCCCAGGGAGGAGAUCCAUGGGGAGAAAUGCUCCUGGAAGGGCCGGGGGAUGGCGGGGAAGGGGCUGAUCCUUGCCGGGAUGAUGCUGUGGGAAUGCACUGCCCGCAAUUCUGCGGCCCUGGAAGGGGAUCCUGGAGCUCCCACAUCCCCUCAGUCUGGGGCAGGAGACCCUGCUGCUUGACAAGGCGAAGUUUGGUCAAAGGCUGCACUCGAUGAUCUCCGAGGUUUUUCCGAUCCCAGCGAUCCCGGGAUUCCUCAGGGCUCUCUGCCAUCCUGCUCCUGUCCAGCGAGGCCAAAUUCUCACCGUGACACAACAGCAGCCUAAGCAGGUGGAAAAGUUGUGGAACCACAGAGCCAUGGAUUGGGCUGGAUUGGGAUGGACCCAAAUCCCACCCAGUGCCAGCCCUGCCAUGGCAGGGACAGCUCCCACUGUCCCAGGAGCUCCCAAUGUCCAGCCUGGCCUUGGGCACUGCCAGGGAUCCAGGGGCAGCCCCAGCUGCUCUGGCAAUUCCAUCCCAGCCCCUGCCCACCCUGCCAGGGAACAAUCCCUGCCCAAGAUCCCAUCAAAUCCUACUCUGAAGCCAUUCCCUGGCUCCUGGCCCUGCAGCCCUUGGCCCCAGUCCCUCUCCAGCUCUCCUGGAGCCCCUUCAGGCCCAGCAAGGGACUCUGAGCUCUCCCUGCAGCUUCUCCUGGCCAGGUAGGACAUUCCCAGCUGGGCCAGCCUUUCCUGCCAGCAGAGCUGCUCCAUCCCUCUGCUCAUCCUGGAGCCUCCUCUGGGCUCUCUCCAGCAGCUCCAGCUGCUCCCUGGGCUGGUCCCAGGGCUGGAUGCAGAGAAAUUCUAAAAAUCAAUUCUGGAUCAUUUUCCCAACACCCCCCUGGCAUUCCUGGGAUGAUUUUCAGGGAGGAAAAUCCCAGCAAUGAUGAGCAGAGGAGGGAGGUGCUCCUCAGCCCCAGGGGAUGAGCUGGUUUAAAGCACCCCAGGUCAAUGAGAGGGAGCUGUGCUGCUGAUCUCAACCACGGAAUUCCAGGGGUGCUGAGGAGAAAUGCGGCUUUUAAAAGCUGCAGCACCCAGUUUUUACUCAGGAAUCAAAACAUCAGGAAUUCCAGGGCUUCACUUGGUGCCCCCAGGGUUAGGAAGCGAUCCCAGCAGGAAUUCCCCAGCCCAGGUUUUUGGGAGAGGCAGAACACGAACACCUGGAGCUGGGAACUCUUUGAGCAUCAUUUCCAUACCGGCCUUUUCCCCUUUCCCCACCGGUUCCUAUAGACACCCCCAGCAGCACUGAAACAAUUCUGCUUCAGCCUCCAAUCCCUGCUGAUUCCCAGAUUCCCUCUGAUCCCUCAGUCAAUAAAAUCAGAGUUUUAUUGAAUGCCA